AUUAGAGCAAGGAGUUAUUUGGUGAAAGCUUGGCGAAAAUAUCUCUCAGUAGUUGGUCAGAGAUUGUGUCUAUUAUAGUUUGGAGCCAGCAUCGACAUGAUAGAAGGCCUGAAUAUGGUUCGUCUUCCCUGGUUGGUCUUUAUUCUGCAAGGUUUCCUGCUAAAUGUAAGUUCUUCAAGUGCAGAAGAAGAACGAAUAGCAAUUGUAUCGACGAAUACAAGAUUUUAUCUCUCAAAGGGACCAAGCUACAACUUCAAUCAGUUACCCAUAUCUGUCGGGAGCCCAGGAGGACUUGACUUUGAUGGGGACAUCGAUAUGAUAUUUUGGACAGAUUCCAACUCUAGAACGAUAAAACGAGCAAAACUUGAUGACACACGAUCGACUCGCGUUAUUUCUACUGAGAGUGACCCAGGAGCAAUCGCAAUUGACGAGAAUGAAAAUCUGAUAUUUUGGACCCACUACGUCUUGAAUCGCUAUAAAAGGACAAUUGAAAGAGUCACAUACGAUGGCCGCGAAAAGACUAUAAUCAUUGAAGGAGAUCGAUACUUGUCUGUUCACUCCAUUGUGUUGGACAAAAUCACAAGGACACUUUACUGGACACAAGGAAGGGCUGUUCGAAGUUGUUCAUAUGAGGGAUUGAAUAAGAGAACACUGUUUACUUUAUCUUCAAAUAUUGGAGAUUUGGCCCUCAACGUGGACGGAGGUAUAUUGUUCUUCUGUGAAGGCUCUUUUGUGAAGACGUAUGAUUUGAUCUCUGGUGGAUCGCAAGUAACGAGUUACGAGCGACUGUCUUCUUCUACUUGCAGGAGUUUGUCAUGGUUUGAAGGUGAUUUAUACAUGGCCUCUGGUCGUCCCACUUUCAGCAUCAAGGAUGGUGACACGGAUAGCGUGUCACAGGUUGCUGUAAGUCCGUCACGUCCUUCUACGUCGAAAAUCGUCGUCGGCAGGAGAUCAGCCCAAGAUCUUGGAGGCGGAAGGUGCGACUUCGAUAGCAUCAAAUGUCAAUGGCGAUUCGAAAACUCCAAGUCGAACGACUUGGACUGGAUAAAAUGGGGCCCCGAACAGGCCACUAGGAACAGAACAGGACCGAAUAAGACGGAUCGCACUGCACUGAGCCAAAUUGGUCAAUACAUGCUUCUGAACACGAGCGGUUCUGGUCACUUACCUGGCGAUUUGGCGUUUCUCAUCAGUGAACCUGUCGACGCCUCUGGCCCAACACCCAAAUGCGUCCAAUUCUGGUACUACAUGCAUGACGUCAUCAACAGUUCCCUCACGGUCCUCUUCGAACAGGUUCUAAACGAGACCACUGGUGAGACCAAGCUUACUCCUCUAUGGUCUGCGUUUGGCAGCCAGCCAAAGGAGUGGGUCGGUGCAGAGUUCGAAGUUUGGACAAGGGGAGUCGGACGCGUUCAUAUCAGUGCGGUAGUGGGUGAUCCUGCGUUGAACAUCAUUGGUAUCGAUGACGUUUACUUUGGAGAAUGUCAUCAGGCCCCCCCGGGGGAUAGUAUACCCCCGUAGAUCCGCCACUGGCAGUUUCGUCCGACGUUUGAGAUCUGAAGAAAUAUCGCAAACAUGUCGUUUGUCCAGAGAUACAGACGAAACUGCUGUUUCCAUUCACCGACCCUCGACAAAGACUUCAUUAUCUUGGACAUAUUGAAGGGCAUUUGACAAUAUGUUCUCUACGUUUCAGAAAGUGUCUGUUGCUAAAACUUUCCUGAUCAUUCCUGCUGCCAUUAGGAUCACCAUUUUCUCCUCUGACAGAUUCCGGGCUGGUGUGUGAAGACUCGUCAAUGACUGUUUACCUGGAUAAAGCGAGGCUUGGAAUCUCCAGCCACGAUAAGGUCUUAUUCAAGAACUCUCUCUGUCAAGGGGAUGAGUAUGAUGCAUACACGGUUGCCAUAACGACGCCAUAUAAUGGAUGUGGUACAACAGUCACCGAGAGUGAUGACGUCAUUAUUUUCUCAAACGAAGUAAAGGUGAUGAUUCAGUCGGACCUCCGCAGCUCCGGUGUGUCUAUCCGGAUAAACUGUUCGUUGAGUCGGACCUAUCACGUGGCAAUGACGUACUUGGCGCAUGCGUGGAUCAGGUAUAUCAAGGAGGACGGCUACGGCAAUUUCUCUGUUCGCAUUCGUCAAUAUACGAAUGUGAAUUUCGAAGAUGCAUAUCCAGGCAAUUCCUUCCCUCAACAGGUGGGCACAUUCGAAAUAGAAUUUCAAUUUCUCAUCCCGAAUAUAAAGAAAAAUUUCUCAUGUGAUGGGUGUCUUCUUGCAUUGUCGUAUUUCAAGCUGAAAAUGGUUUAAGAAAGAACUGUGAUUAUUAAAUCCUUUGUCAAUUAAGGUAAUUUCAUGAAUAAUGAAUUUUCACUACAAAGUGACAUUUUGGAGGAAUGUAGCCAAAUGAUACGGGAAGUUCACUUUGACGCUUCUGAAAAUAACGGAAUGCAACAUAAUUCCAUUUUUCUGGUAUUGACAUAUCACUCACCUGAAAUCCAAUCACGGCGGAGCAAUUAAUUAUGGAAAACCCGGGUAGUGCACUAUGUAAUGCGUGGGUGUACACAUUGAGUGAUCGUUGGUAUGUCGGCAUUUAAAAUUCAUUGAGGGUCUUUUCACACGUGAAUCUUGAAUUAUCAUUGUAAUGAUGAUUGCUAUUGUAAUCGUGACUGUGAUUAGCGUUUGUGAUUUGUUCUAGUUUGGUGCUAAAUAUUCGUCAUUAGUUAUUUGUCUCUGGAAUCAUCAUUCAAAUUACGAUUUUUUUUAAUGGGUGAAAGGGCGGUUAGUGUGUUCUACACUGGGCUUCCAGCAACACCUAUUUUGAAAUUUUUGAACCAACUCGGUUCUAGAUUAGUUCUAGAUUAAGAUUCAGGUAAUGUUUGUAAAUCAUUUCAUAUUCUAAUUUCUCUUGUGAUUAGACGAUUUCUUUAUUAUUUUAUUCUGUCAUUUGAAACUAAUCCCCUCCGUAGGUUGACAUAGAUAAUAUGAUUUACAUGGCAACAGAAAUGGUCGCCAUAGUAGAUGUUGUGGAUACCAUACAAAAUACCCGUUGCUGGGCAACGCCUUCACCCGAUCCUUUGGACGCUAUCAACCGUGAUAUCAUAAGCGACGGGUAAAAAAUGAAUUUCAUAUCUCAUGUGUCAUCUUUACUAUUAUUAUUACUAUCAUCAUCAUUAUUAUUAUUAGUGGCAGUAGUAGUCGUAGUUUAAGUAAUAGUGGUAAAAGUAGCAUUGUUACUAUUGUUAUUAUUAUAAUUAUUAUCAAUUUCCAAUUAUCAUGGCUACCACUAUCAUAAACAUCGUAAUUAUCAUUUUUAUCAAUAGAACUUCUAUAAUUACUUGCUAUCGGUAUACUAUUUUUGCCAUCAGAAUCAAAAUCAUGAUUUCGGUUCAUGUUACCAUUCUUCUUCUUACUAUUAUAUUGACUUAAUUGAUAUCUGACACAGCCAUUUUCUUAUGCAUUCAAGUUUACAAAAAAAAAAUAGUUAAAGCAAUCUGC
This is an RNA transcript of Lytechinus pictus (painted urchin), 3488 nucleotides long. RefSeq lists it as uncharacterized. NCBI's taxonomy places the organism in Eukaryota, Metazoa, Echinodermata, Echinoidea, Temnopleuroida, Toxopneustidae. The record is from RefSeq and is a predicted model, not a curated record. The transcript is spliced from 10 exons.